Long non-coding RNA from Oncorhynchus keta (chum salmon), 4910 nucleotides. RefSeq lists it as uncharacterized. The record is from RefSeq and is a predicted model, not a curated record. The transcript has 4 exons. NCBI's taxonomy places the organism in Eukaryota, Metazoa, Chordata, Actinopteri, Salmoniformes, Salmonidae.
GGGUGUAGUCUGUGGGUGUGUCUGUGGGUGUAGUCUACAGGAGUAGUUACAACUUGAUCCACCUUAAUGAUUAAUCUUGGUAAGAAACUAGUUUCACAGGAAAACAAAUCACGAUGGUUGAGAGGCUGAGUCUCUAUUUGAGUCUCGAAUAAAAAUCAACUUGUUAUUAGUCGCAUAGCGUACACAUGUCUUUCAUAUGUUAUCACAGGUGCUUAUGUUUCUUUGAGCUCCAACAGGGCAGUAAUACCUAACAGUACAAAACAAUACACACAAAUCCAACAGUUGCGUUGGCAGGAAGAGGAGACGGGUACUCAGGUAUAGGAAGGUUCCAGGGUACUAGGCUGAGUGUUCUCUCUCUCCCUACCAAUAUCGUGUCAACACAGGUCAAUGUGGGCAACGCCAGGGUACACACCCUCACACUGUGCCAGAGGUCUGUAGGUUAUAGGGAGGUUCCAGAGUACUAGGCUUAGUGUUCUGUCUGCAGACUGGUGUCCUCGUUACCACCUACGUUCUGUCUCCCUACCAAUAUCGUGUCAACACAGGUCAAUGUGGGCAACGCCAGGGUACACACCCUCACACUGUGCCAGAAGUCUGUAGGUAUAGGGAGGUUCCAGGUGAAUGGGGAAGCCGUUCUCUCUGUAGAAGUCUGUAGGUUAUAGGGAGGUUCCAGGUGAAUGGGGAAGCCGUUCUCUCUGUAGAAGUCUGUAGGUUAUAGGGAGGUUCCAGGUGGAUGGGGAAGCCGUUCUCUCUGUAGAAGUCUGUAGGUUAUAGGGAGGUUCCAGGUGGAUGGGGAAGCCGUUCUCUCUGUAGAAGUCUGUAGGUUAUAGGGAGGUUCCAGGUGGAUGGGGAAGCCGUUCUCUCUGUAGAAGUCUGUAGGUUAUAGGGAGGUUCCAGGUGGAUGGGGAAGCCGUUCUCUCUGUAGAAGUCUGUAGGUUAUAGGGAGGUUCCAGGUGGAUGGGGAAGCCGUUCUCUCUGUAGAAGCCUGUAGGUUAUAGGGAGGUUCCAGGUGGAUGGGGAAGCCGUUCUCUCUGUAGAAGUCUGUAGGUUAUAGGGAGGUUCCAGGUGGAUGGGGAAGCCGUUCUCUCUGUAGAAUUCUGUCCUAAAUACAUGUUUUACCUCCCUCUGCCUCCUCCUUUCACCAUCCCAUUGCAAUCCAGACCAUUGUACACAGAGUGUACAAAACAUUAGGAACACCUUCGUAAUUUUGAGUUAGAGCAGGUGUUCAUAAUGUUUUGUACACUCAGAGUAUAUGGCCGCCAUGCAGCAUUUAAAACCACUUCAUCAUAUCCAAGGAUAAAUCAUGUGUUUUUAGUUUUUCAUCUAAGUGAUCAAUAAAGUAUCGCAUGGCAUAAACAAGUAUCUUAGUUUCUGCAGGAAAAUUUGCUCUACUCUGAAGAGGGAGGAAGGACCAGUUGACCACAGUGGCUUUAGCCAAAAGGCUUUUGACCCUUGUUUUGCAAUAGUCCUAUAAGCCCGACACACCCACAGCUAUCAAAACUACAUCAAGCACAGAGUGUUCCCUUUGCAAACAACACACACACACACACACACACACACACACACAGUAACGUGGAAUGGUGAUAGCUCUUCCAAUGUACUCUCGUCUUAUCUCUGUUAUUUAUAUAUCAUCACAAGAGAUAAAGGUACAAUGCCUUCAGAAAGUAUUCAGACCCCUUGACUUUCUCCACAUGUUGUUGUGUUACAGCCUGAUUUUAAAAUGGAUUGUGUGUUUUUUUGUGUGUGUCAGCAGAACCACACACACUACUCUGUAAUGUGAAAACGGAAUUGUUUUUCUCCAAUUAUUAUAAUUUUUUUUUUACUAAUUCAUUAAAAAAAUGUAAAUGCUGAAAUGUCUUGAGUAAUUGAGUUAAGUGUUCAAUUCCUUUGUUAUGGCAAGUCUAAAUAAGUUCAGAGGUAAAAAUGGGCUGAACAGGUCAUAAAUACAGUUUAAUUUACUAAUACUAAUUUCGGAAACCUUGAUGUCAUUUUACAAAACUCUAGACACAAAAUUCAAAACCAAUGACCAAAAUGCACAUUUUUCAGAACUCUUAACACUAUUUCGAAUUGCUUGGAUACAAUACACAUACAACUAAGAUAAUUUUUUCAUUGAACUAAAAUCACCUGUUCAAAAUGACACAACUUAACAUCCAAGUAUUACCAUUUCAAACUGCAAUUGGGGUGGCAGGAUAGCCUAGUGGUUAGAGCGUUGGACUAGUAACCGGAAGUUUGCAAGUUCAAAUCCCCGAGCUUCCCCUGAACAGGCAGUUAACCCACUGUUCCUAGGCUGUCAUUGAAAAUAAGAAUUUGUUCUUAACUGACUUGCCUAGUAAAAUAAGUGUUAAAAAAAUAAUAAUAAUUAAAUUCACACACUACAUCUGAGAUGAUUGUCUAUUCAUUUCAUUACAAUUAUCUUACUAUCAAUUGAUACAACUGCUCAAAAUGAUAAGUAACUGUUGCAUUAGUCUUAAUGCAUAGUUUUAUGGAAACUGACAAACAAUAUAGGGAUUUAGAUCAUCAUCAUCAUUUAGAUCAUGAAAGUUUCAGGAUAACGAGAUCCAUUGACAUCAAUUACCGUGGAACAUGAACCAAGUGGACGACAUUAUCUAUGGAUGUAAUAUUUCGUCAUCAUUCUUUAUCACACACUGUUUCUAUGGUCCCAUGUACUACUUUUCCAGACCAUGUUUUCAGAUUUGACAUGACUGUACACUCACCGGCCACUUUAUUAGGUACAUCUAUCUAGUACUGGGUAAGACCCCCUUUUGCCUCCACAACAACCUGAAUUAUUCACAGUGUUGUACGUUAAGAGAUGCCCUUUCUGUACACCACUGUUUAAAACAGCUGUUAUUUGAGCAUGUGUGGCCUUUCCGUUAGCUUGAAUGAGUCUGGACAUUCUCCCGUUGAUGUUUUACAGUAAGCCAGGUGAGGAACACUGCAGUUGAUGUUUUACAGUAAGCCAGGUGAGGAACACUGCAGUGAUGUUUUACAGUAAGCCAGGUGAGGAACACUGCAGUGAUGUUUUACAGUAAGCCAGGUGAGGAAUACUGCAGUUGAUGUUUUACAGUAAGCCAGGUGAGGAACACUGCAGUGAUGUUUUACAGUAAGCCAGGUGAGGAAUACUGCAGUGAUGUUUUACAGUAAGCCAGGUGAGGAACACUGCAGUGAUGUUUUACAGUAAGCCAGGUGAGGAACACUGCAGUUGAUGUUUUACAGUAAGCCAGGUGAGGAACACUGCAGUGAUGUUUUACAGUAAGCCAGGUGAGGAACACUGCAGUUGAUGUUUUACAGUAAGCCAGGUGAGGAACACUGCAGUGAUGUUUUACAGUAAGCCAGGUGAGAAACACUGCAGUGAUGUUUUACAGUAAGCCAGGUGAGGAACACUGCAGUGAUGUUUUACAGUAAGUCAAGUGAGGAACACUGCAGAUGAUGUUUUACAGUAAGCCAGAUGAGAAACACUGCAGUGAUGUUUUACAGUAAGCCAGGUGAGGAACACUGCAGUUGAUGUUUUACAGUAAGCCAGGUGAGGAACACUGCAGUUGAUGUUUUACAGUAAGCCAGGUGAGGAACACUGCAGUGAUGUUUUACAGUAAGCCAGAUGAGGAACAGCGCAGUUGAUGUUUUACAGUAAGCCAGAUGAGGAACACUGCAGUGAUGUUUUAUAGUAAGCCAGAUGAGGAACACUGCAGUUGAUGUUUACAGUAGUUUUUUUCUUUUUUUGUAGCUAAUUACUUUUGCUUUGAUUAAAAGAAACCUAUGAGUGAUUUUAUUGUAUUUCAUCAAUAAAUGUCAUAUUUUGUUCAAUGAUUCCACUGUGUCUGUAGUAUUCUCUCUACUAGUCCUUUUACAGGGAUGGAUUUACGUGUAGUAUCAUAAUGAAACAUGUAUCACAUAUUUUGUACUACAAUAUUUAAUGAAUGAACGAACAACUACACGGUGAAACUAUCGGUAUCUUGUGUAUGGGUGAUCUAAAUGAAUGUUCCUAUUGGUAUUUCAUGAUGAAUGAGUUAUUUGAACCAAUGAUUCUGCAAGUGCAAGGUUUCUUUAAAUAUAUGAACAACGCUUUGAGAGUUGGACAGCCUGUGUUAGCCUGGUCACGUUCUGACCAUAGUUAUUUUGUCUUUUCCUUGUUUUAGUGUUGGUCAGGACGUGAGCUGGGUGGGCAUUCUAUGUUGUGUGUCUGGUUUGUCUAUUUCUAUGUUUGGCCUGAUAUGGUUCUCAAUCACAGGCAGGUGUUAGUCAUUGUCUCUGAUUGGGAACCAUAUUUAGGUAGCCUGUUUUGUGUUGGGUUUUGUGGGUGAUUGUUUCUUGUCUUUGUGUCUAUGCACCAGAUAAGACUGUGUUCGGGUUUCACAUGUAUUGUUUUGCGUUCUGUUCAUGUUGAGUUACCUUAUUAAAAUAACAUGAACUCUAACCACGCUGCGUUUUGGUCCGCCUCUCCUUCCCAGGAAGAAAGCCGUUACAGUUACAAGUGAUGACCGUUUUGAGUUCUGUGUCUAGAGUUUUGAAAAAUGACCACAAGGUUCUGAAAUUAGUGCCAAAUGGAUUGUAAAAAAAAAAAAAGUUACAUGGACUUGAAAAUCUAUGGCAAGUCUUGAAAAAUGGUUGUCUAGCAAUGAUCAACAACCAAUUUGACAGAGCUUGAAGAAUUCUGAAAAGAAUAAUGGGCAAAUGUUGCGCAAUCCAGUUGCGGAAAGCUCUUAGAGAUGUACCCAGAAAGACUCACAGCUCUUAGAUAUUUACCCAGAAAGACUCACAGCUCUUAGAGAUUUACCCUGAAAGACUCACAGCUCUUAGAGAUGUACCCAGAAAGACUCACAGCUCUUAGAGAUGUACCCAGGAAGACUCACAGCUCUUAGAGAUGUACCCAGAAAGACUCACAGCUCUUAUAUUUACCCAGAAAGACUCACAGCUCU